This 400-nucleotide ribosomal RNA is filed under the name uncultured bacterium. Its description in RNAcentral is "bacterial SSU rRNA". It matches the Rfam family "Bacterial small subunit ribosomal RNA", at positions 357 to 774 of the family's 1533-position model. The record is from RNAcentral.
GGGAAUAUUGCACAAUGGGGGAAACCCUGAUGCAGCGACGCCGCGUGAGCGAAGAAGUACCUCGGUAUGUAAAGCUCUAUCAGCAGGGAAGAAAGUGACAGUACCUGACUAAGAAGCCCCGGCUAACUACGUGCCAGCAGCCGCGGUAAUACGUAGGGGGCAAGCGUUAUCCGGAUUCACUGGGCGUAAAGGGAGCGCAGGCGGCGCGGCAAGUCUGAUGUGAAAGCCCGGGGCUCAACCCCGGGUCUGCAUUGGAAACUGUCGAGCUAGAGUGUCGGAGGGGUAAGCGGAAUUCCUAGUGUAGCGGUGAAAUGCGUAGAUAUUAGGAGGAACACCAGUGGCGAAGGCGGCUUACUGGACGAUGACUGACGCUGAGGCUCGAAAGCGUGGGGAGCAAACG